UGCGGAAAACCAGAGGCUGUUUCUGA
RNAcentral lists this small nucleolar RNA (26 nucleotides) under Anas platyrhynchos platyrhynchos (common mallard). Its description in RNAcentral is "Small nucleolar RNA SNORD95 (ENSAPLG00000026161.1)". The record is from RNAcentral. Lineage: Eukaryota; Metazoa; Chordata; Aves; Anseriformes; Anatidae.